Amphiprion ocellaris (clown anemonefish) is the source of this 1781-nucleotide long non-coding RNA. RefSeq lists it as uncharacterized. The transcript is spliced from 3 exons. NCBI's taxonomy places the organism in Eukaryota, Metazoa, Chordata, Actinopteri, Pomacentridae. The record is from RefSeq and is a predicted model, not a curated record.
GGCCGAUCUUAAAAUAAAUCAAUAUUGAUUUUUUUAUAGGGAAUUAAAGUUUUGCGAAGCCAGGGGGCGGGACUACUUGAUUGACAGUCCGGUCUGGAAUGAUUGACAGGUCCUAUGGAGGAGGCAGCAGAGACUCUGUUCUCCUCGUUUGGAUUAAUUCUGAUAUAAUAACUGUUGGUUUAUUUAUUGGUGGAGCAGCAGAACAUUUUCCACAGACAGUUUUCCUGCCCGUUGGCUUGUUUUAACCAGUUUUCUACCUUCGGCUGAUUCUACCAGCAGACACUGAAAGGACUCUGAUAGUUCGAGUGAAAGUAGCAGUUCCUCCUUAAGGUCAGAGAUUGCAGCAUCUGAGGGCCUCUUCAAAAGAAGACAUAGUUGAUGAAGGCGUUCUGGAGCAGGACCAGAAAGACCACGACCAAGCAGCCUUGAGAUCUUAGGCAGCGUCUCCCUCAGAUCCACCAACCACUGGAACACAUCUCCAAAGUUCUGCCGGGCCAGCUCAGCUUCCCCUCAGAAGAAGUGCUGCCACCUGCCAGAUGAAGGAGCCUUUUGAGAGGCAGCUGGCAUCGUGAUUGGACUGUACUUUGGUCUGUUCCAGUCCAGCUUCAGCUCCAGAGACGGCAGGCGGGACGAGUCAACGGAGGCCGGGUGGAUGAAGGCAUGAAGCUGAGUACAAUCCAGAAAACAACAGAGGAAGAAACAAACAUAGUGUAUACAUCAUAUACUGUAUAAAAGACACAUCCACUGUAGAAUUGUAGUAAUUGUGGGCUGACUGAUUUACUGAUUAUCAGUAUUUUAUUUUUUACUGAUUUACGGUAAUAAAUACAUUUAAAAAUGGCGCUACUUUGGCUCUGAACCUUAAUCUACCUGUGGUCGCUCUGUCUUCUGGAGUGAUUUGAUUGGUUAUACGUCACGAAUAAAACUCCUUUAACUUAACAUCUGUAAACAAAACAAAAACGUAUCAACAAAGUUUUCUGUUAAAGUUUGUGUUCUUCUAAGUUUAACUCCAAGAUUUUAAAUACUUUCAUUUACUGCAAAUGAAUAUCGACUCCAAAUGUCUCAGUAAUAAUCAUUAUCAGCCUUAAAAACCCACAAAACACCCCUCUAUACUCGACCACACUUAGUACAGUCCGGUUCCCCCUUCUAUAAAUCUGCUUGGAAUCGUCCACUUCCUGUUUGUCAAAGUGGCCUUCUACCUGGACAGGUUUUGUUGGAGCUCAUGCAGCAAACAUUUUGGGUAACUGCACUUUAAUAUGGAUGGAUGACACUGAAUUAGAGUCUGUUUUAAUGAGACUGAGUUAAGAUGUGUAGCUCUGUCAUUAAAUAGGAAAUUAUUUCUCAGAAUUCACAGAGGAAAGUCUGAAAUGUUUGCUAGGUUAGCGUCCCACAUGUUCUUUGGCUCAGCUAAAGCUAACUCUCUCCAGCUUGUGGAUCUCUUGAGUUGCUUGUUGUUAAAAUAUCUUGCUGUAGGUGCUGAAGCUCAGAAAGUCUGACAUGUUUGUUCAAAAUAAGCUCAUUCUCAAGUCUUAUCUGAACUGUCCUCUUUUGUUUGAACUUUCCCUAAACUUAGGAGUUAAUGACAGAGCAGCACAUCCAGACUCAGUCUCAUUUAUGUAGAGAUUAAACUUCAGUGUCAUUCAUUGAUGUUAAAGUGCAGUUUUUCAAAUGUUUGUUGCACAUGCUCCCGACCAAACCAGUCCAGGUGGAAGACAAUGUGAAGAGAAAGCUCCAGAGGAUGAAUAUCACACAUUUACGUUGGAAAUAAAUGUCCUUUAAUUAGA